RNAcentral lists this ribosomal RNA (479 nucleotides) under uncultured bacterium. RNAcentral's name for it is "bacterial SSU rRNA". It matches the Rfam family "Bacterial small subunit ribosomal RNA", at positions 28 to 524 of the family's 1533-position model. The record is from RNAcentral.
GAUGAACGCUGGCGGCAUGCUCAACACAUGCAAGUCGAACGGGAUGCUUCGGCAUUCAGUGGCGGACGGGUGAGUAACACGUGGGAACUUGUCCUCGGGUGGGGAACAACCGCUGGAAACGGCGGCUAAUACCGCAUGAACCCUGAGGGGCAAAGGCUUCGGCCGCCUGAGGAGGGGCCCGCGUCCGAUUAGCUUGUUGGUGGGGUAACGGCCUACCAAGGCGUCGAUCGGUAGCUGGUCUGAGAGGACGAUCAGCCACACUGGGACUGAGACACGGCCCAGACUCCUACGGGAGGCAGCAGUGGGGAAUAUUGGACAAUGGGCGAAAGCCUGAUCCAGCAAUGCCGCGUGAGUGAUGAAGGCCUUAGGGUUGUAAAGCACUUUCAGUGGGGAGGAAAAGCGGGUGGCUAAUAUCCAUCGGCCGUGACGCUACCCACAGAAGAAGCACCGGCUAAUUCCGUGCCAGCAGCCGCGGUAAU